UACGAAGGGCCCAAGCGUUAAUCGGAAUCACUGGGCUUAAAGGGUGCGCAGGCGGAUCUGUAAGUGUCUUGUGAAAUCCCAGGGCUCAACUCUGGAAUUGCUUGGCAAACUACAGGUCUUGAGCACGGCAGAGGUCGUCGGAACGCUAGGUGGAGCGGUGAAAUGCGUAGAUAUCUAGCGGAACGCCAAAGGUGAAGACAGACGGCUGGGCCGUUGCUGACGCUCAGGCACGAAAGCAUGGGUAGCGAACGGG
This 253-nucleotide unclassified non-coding RNA is filed under the name uncultured Phycisphaeraceae bacterium. RNAcentral's name for it is "contains 16S-23S intergenic spacer region". It matches the Rfam family "Bacterial small subunit ribosomal RNA", at positions 524 to 776 of the family's 1533-position model. The record is from RNAcentral. Lineage: Bacteria; Pseudomonadati; Planctomycetota; Phycisphaerae; Phycisphaerales; Phycisphaeraceae.